CCCACAAUUUUUUUGUUUUUUUGGGCUAAAUUAUAUAAAAUCUUUCUGUCAAUACUCGUUUAUAGAGAGAGAAAGAGUACGGCUAUUGUACUUUUAUGAGUACGAUCGCUUUCGUACUCAUAAAUAGUUUUCGAUAAUAGAGCUUCCGAAUCGACGAUCCAUACCGUUAAACAUUAUCUAGAGUAUUUAAAACUUUUAAAAAUCAAAUUUCAUAAUUUUUCGAUAUCAUUUACCUUACGAUCAAAGGCUCACAAUAUUGACAAUUUUUAACGGCAGAUAUGAGAUACUUGCUAGUUUAACGGUGUAAAAAAAUCAGAAUAUGUUGAAUUUUUGAUAGAAAAUUUUAUUAACUAUCUAGAUAAAGAUCAAUAACUCCAAUCUUAAAUUAAAGAAUCCAAUCAUCCAUUUUUAAAAUAUCGUUCGAUUUUGACCGUUCAUUUUAUGUCCGCUUGAUGGACAUUAUACAUAUAUAUAUAUAUAUAUAUAUAGAGAGAGAGAGAGAGAGAGAGAGAGAGUAGGGCUACUAUACUCUUAUGAGUAUAGAGGGCUACUAUACUCUUAUGAGUAUAGAGUUCUUCGUACUCAUAAGUUGUUUUCGAUGAUUGAGCUUCCGAAUCGACGAUCCAUUCCGUUAAAUAUGAUCUAGAGUAUUUGAAACUUCUAGAAAAUAAAUUUCACAAGUUUUCAAAAUCAUAAUAAAGUCCAUCAUGCGAGUAUUAAAUGAACGGUCAAAAUCGAACGACGUUCUAAAAAUGUAUGAUCGGAUCUUUUAAUUUAAGAUCGAAGUUAUUAAUCUUUAUUUAAGUAUCAAAAAUUCAACAAAUUCCAAUUCUUUUAAAUGGUUAAAUUAGCAAGUAUCCCGUACUGGCCGUUAAAAAUUAUUAAUUUUGUGACAUUUUGAUUCGUAAGCUAAAUGAUGUCAAAAAAUUAUAAAAUUUGAUUUUUAAACGUUUUA
RNAcentral lists this long non-coding RNA (955 nucleotides) under Ananas comosus (pineapple). RNAcentral's name for it is "long non-coding RNA (ACOM_LNC004938)". Lineage: Eukaryota; Viridiplantae; Streptophyta; Magnoliopsida; Poales; Bromeliaceae. The record is from RNAcentral.